GAUGAACGCUGGCGGCGUGCCUAAUACAUGCAAGUCGAGCGAACGGACGAGAAGCUUGCUUCUCUGAUGUUAGCGGCGGACGGGUGAGUAACACGUGGAUAACCUACCUAUAAGACUGGGAUAACUUCGGGAAACCGUAGCUAAUACCGGAUAAUAUUUUGCACCGCAUGGUUCAAAAGUGAAAGACGGUCUUGCUGUCACUUAUAGAUGGAUCCGCGCUGCAUUAGCUAGUUGGUAAGGUAACGGCUUACCAAGGCAACGAUGCAUAGCCGACCUGAGAGGGGGAUAGCCGACACGGGAGCUGAGACACGGUCCAGACUCCUACGGGAGGCAGCAGUAGGGAAUCGGCCGCAAUGGGCGAAAGCCUGACGGAGCAACGCCGCGCGAGUGAUGAAGGUCUUCGGAUCGUAAAACUCUGUUAUUAGGGAAGAACAUAUGUGUAAGUAACUGUGCACAUCUUGACGGUACCUAAUCAGAAAGCCACGGCUAACUACGUG
This 497-nucleotide ribosomal RNA is filed under the name uncultured bacterium. RNAcentral's name for it is "partial 16S ribosomal RNA". It matches the Rfam family "Bacterial small subunit ribosomal RNA", at positions 28 to 507 of the family's 1533-position model. The record is from RNAcentral.